AGGAGGAGGUCCUGCAGGUGGUGCUGCAAGGGGUCGGCUGGCCGCAGGGGGACUGCACAGACACAGGCUGGCAGCAGGUGGGGUCUCAGCAGGAGGAGGUCCUGCAGGUGGUGCUGCAAGGGGUCGGCUGGCCGCAGGGAGGCCGGCAGCAGGGGGACUGCACAGACACAGGCUGGCAGCAGGUGGUGCUGCAAGGGGUCGGCUGGCCGCAGGGGGGCCGGCAGCAGGGGGACUGCACAGACACAGGCUGGCAGCAGGUGGUGGCCCAGCAGCAGGGCCUGCAC
This 284-nucleotide long non-coding RNA is filed under the name Homo sapiens (human). RNAcentral describes it as "HSALNT0389753". Lineage: Eukaryota; Metazoa; Chordata; Mammalia; Primates; Hominidae. The record is from RNAcentral.